Molecule: long non-coding RNA, 470 nt
Filed under: Physcomitrium patens
Lineage: Eukaryota; Viridiplantae; Streptophyta; Bryopsida; Funariales; Funariaceae
Description: long non-coding RNA (PPAT_LNC014547)
Source: RNAcentral
UUUAAGCAAUUUAGAUUUUUCUUGUAAGCCCUAAUUCUAAUUAAUGAGCUUUAACAAGCUAUAACAUCCAAUCUGAUCAUCCACUUGAUGUAAAAUUUUUCAUGCAAUUGUCAAUAUAAGUCUUCUAUAUGCCCAAGAAUUUUUAGUACAAUCCAACUCACAGAUUGUGAGAAAACCUUUAAAAAUUGCACUGAUGUCACUUGGCCUCCAACUUGAAAAGCAAAAUAGAAAUCCCAGCAAUGAUUUCUCCCUUUCCAACUAUUAACUUUGUCUCAAAAUUGGUGUGUAGCUUGAUCUUUAAGUCUUUCAAAACCAUGUCAAUUUUCACCUAAAUCCAACUAAUAGAUCUUCAGAUAUCAUAGAAACCCUACCUAAUCUCAAAUUGCCACCUUCCAAACUCCUCUUGUGCUAAAAACUAGAUAUCUCUAAACCAUGCCAUUAGAUUAUCACAAAAUUUUGUAUAUACUUAG